Molecule: ribosomal RNA, 440 nt
Filed under: uncultured Methylocella sp.
Lineage: Bacteria; Pseudomonadati; Pseudomonadota; Alphaproteobacteria; Hyphomicrobiales; Beijerinckiaceae
Description: bacterial SSU rRNA
Rfam family: Bacterial small subunit ribosomal RNA
Source: RNAcentral
CUGGCGGGCCUUUUCGUGCCAAGUCGGAGCGCCUGUAGCAUACAGGAGCGGCAGACGGGAGAGUAACACGUGGGAACAUGCCCUUCAGUUCGGAACAACCAAGGGAAACUUUGGCUAAUACCGGAUACGCCCUUACGGGGAAAGAUUUAUCGCUGAAGGAUUGGCCCGCGUCUGAUUAGCUAGUUGGUGGGGUAAGAGCCUACCAAGGCGACGAUCGGUAGCUGGUCUGAGAGGAUGAUCAGCCACACUGGGACUGAGACACGGCCCAGACUCCUACGGGAGGCAGCAGUGGGGAAUUUUCCGCAAUGGGCGAAAGCCUGACGGAGCAAGACCGCGUGAGGGAAGAAGGUCUGUGGAUUGUAAACCUCUUUUGAUGGGGAAGAAGUUCUGACGGUACCCAUCGAAUCAGCCUCGGCUAACUCCGUGCCAGCAGCCGCGGU